AGACUUUGGAUGGUCCAGACGGGAACUCACAGGGAACCAGAAAGCCCCCGCUCUGCACCCCUGCUGAGGCUGUACCCAUAAAGAGAAAGCGAUCCUGGCGAUACAACCGUGUCUGGACAAAGGACCAGAAGUGGACACGAGAGGGACUCGCCACCAGCGUACAACAGAAGGUGCCACUCCCCUCCAAAAAAGACCAACCCAAAC
This is a long non-coding RNA of Saccostrea cuccullata (small rock oyster), 204 nucleotides long. RefSeq lists it as uncharacterized. The transcript has 3 exons. The record is from RefSeq and is a predicted model, not a curated record. Lineage: Eukaryota; Metazoa; Mollusca; Bivalvia; Ostreida; Ostreidae.